Long non-coding RNA from Myotis myotis, 507 nucleotides. RefSeq lists it as uncharacterized. The transcript has 5 exons. The record is from RefSeq and is a predicted model, not a curated record. NCBI's taxonomy places the organism in Eukaryota, Metazoa, Chordata, Mammalia, Chiroptera, Vespertilionidae.
GAAGACUAAUCUGAAUAUUCCCUUACAUUUCCUAAUAAAGAAAGAAAAUCAAGAUUUUUGUCUUACCACUUACGUCCCUUGCUUCCUGAUUGGUUCUCAAACAAAUAGAUUGCAGCUGCCUUCCUUAAAAGCCUGAAAGGUAAGACAUGGUUGAUGCACCAAGCAAAUGAACACCCUCAACUUUUUAUCCUAAAUCAUGUAUUGCACGUGUCCUUCCUUGGAACUACAUAUUACUUGCUAUAAUGGAAUGUAUGUGUACUUUGAAUAAGACUUCAGCUCAUAUACUUGUAUGGGAAGCGCAAAACUUUGUUUUUGUAAACCACACUGUCAGAAACUUGGCUGUCUGAAGUCACCUCUGUACGAGCCCACCAUUUCCUGACCAGGAUCUUAGUCACCUUAACACAGAGAAACAGCCUUCGUAUCCCACCCAGAGGCAGAGUUUCAGGUUCUGCAAGAACACAAUUACCAGACCGGGAGCAAGUAAAUGUUAACCGUGGUGGUGAUCAA